RNAcentral lists this ribosomal RNA (492 nucleotides) under uncultured bacterium. RNAcentral describes it as "partial 16S ribosomal RNA". It matches the Rfam family "Bacterial small subunit ribosomal RNA", at positions 29 to 507 of the family's 1533-position model. The record is from RNAcentral.
AGUGAACGCUGGCGGUAGGCCUAACACAUGCAAGUCGAACGGCAGCACAGUAAGAGCUUGCUCUUACGGGUGGCGAGUGGCGGACGGGUGAGGAAUACAUCGGCAUCUACUUUUUCGUGGGGGAUAACGUAGGGAAACUUCCGCUAAUACCGCAUACGACCUACGGGUGAAAGCAGGGGAUCUUCGGACCUUGCGCGAUUGAAUGAGCCGAUGUCGGAUUAGCUAGUUGGCGGGGUAAAGGCCCACCAAGGCGACGAUGCGUAGCUGGUCUGAGAGGAUGAUCAGCCACACUGGAACUGAGGCACGGUCCAGACUCCUACGGGAGGCAGCAGUGGGGAAUAUUGGACAAUGGGCGCAAGCCUGAUCCAGCCAUACCGCGUGGGUGAAGAAGGCCUUCGGGUUGUAAAGCCCUUUUGUUGGGAAAGAAAAUCAGCAGGUUAAUACCCCGCUGUUCUGACGGUACCCAAAGAAUAAGCACCGGCUAACUUCGUG